Molecule: long non-coding RNA, 233 nt
Filed under: Olea europaea (common olive)
Lineage: Eukaryota; Viridiplantae; Streptophyta; Magnoliopsida; Lamiales; Oleaceae
Description: long non-coding RNA (OEUR_LNC010731)
Source: RNAcentral
UCCCUUAAAAUCUAAUCCAAAUCUGUUAAGGUCCUCGAUCAUAAAGUAAUAGCCAUCUUUAUUUCCUACAAAGUUAAGGCUCACCUUUUCAAUAUGAUUCGACCGAUCACUUAUCCUUCGUUUGCACAGCCGUCCAAUCCGGAAGUAGCUUAAUUGUAUAAAAUAAGUGGGUCAGUUAAAGAAAUAGACUCCCACUCGUAGUGCUAUUUUGAAACAAUAAAGUUACUUGUACA